ACUUGCAUACAGGUGCUGCACGGCUGUCGUCAGCUCGUGUCGUGAGAUGUUGGGUUAAGUCCCGCAACGAGCGCAACCCUCGUCCUUAGUUGCUAACAGUUCGGCUGAGAACUCUAAGGAGACUGCCUACGCAAGUAGGAGGAAGGUGAGGAUGACGUCAAGUCAUCAUGGCCCUUACGUCCAGGGCUACACACGUGCUACAAUGGGGUAUACAAAGAGCAGCAAUACGGUGACGUGGAGCAAAUCUCAAAAAUGCCUCCCAGUUCGGAUUGUAGUCUGCAACUCGACUACAUGAAGUUGGAAUCGCUAGUAAUCGUAGAUCAGCUAUG
This 329-nucleotide ribosomal RNA is filed under the name Aliarcobacter butzleri. Its description in RNAcentral is "bacterial SSU rRNA". It matches the Rfam family "Bacterial small subunit ribosomal RNA", at positions 1026 to 1356 of the family's 1533-position model. The record is from RNAcentral. Lineage: Bacteria; Pseudomonadati; Campylobacterota; Epsilonproteobacteria; Campylobacterales; Arcobacteraceae.